UCAAGUCUCGGUUUCCAAAGCACCGCCAGCAGGACUGGCUUUCCAGAAAAUGCCGCCACGGGGAGGCUGGGAGUGUUCUCAGAGGCCACGGGCAAAGCGGAGGAGGCCGGUUUUUCUGAUAAGCUUCUCCCUCUUGGCAGAUGGCACCACCAUUCAUACAGGCACUGAGGCCAAAAACCUAUGUGUCAUUCCUCAUUCCAUCCUCCUCCUGGCCUCUAUGGUAAGCAGCCUCCAAGAUGGCCCAGUGAUUCUUGCCUCCUGGUAUCCAUAGCCUGCAUGGUCCCCUCCCAUACUGAACCUGUGUAAUCAACAGGAUGUGGCAGAAGUGAUGGAGUAUGACUCCGAGGCUAGGUCAUGAGAGUCAGUGUGCCCUCCUCCCUGCUCUCUUGGAUCACUCUCGUGAAGGGCACUUGUGCAGACCUAUGAAGAGGCUCAUGUGGGGAGGAGCUGAGACCUCCUGCAGACAGCCAGCAUUAAUUUGCCAACCAUGUGAACGAGCCCCCUUGGAAGCGGAGCCUCCAGCCCCAUUCAAGCCUUCGGAUGAUGGCAGCCCCAGCCGACAUCUUGUCUGCAAUCUCAUAAAAGACCCUGAGGGAGAACCACCCGGCUAAGUCGCUCCCAAAUUUCUGACCCACAAAAACCACGAGACAACAAAUGUUUGUUGUUCUAAACUGCUAAGUCUAGAGCAAUUUGUUACACAAGUACAGUUAACUGACACUGCCUUCUGCCUGCAACCAUCCAUCAAGUCCUAUGGAUUCUACUUCUAAAUGACGUAUUGACUCUGCCAUCUCCCUUCUCCUCCACGGCCACUGCCACGGGCCAAGCCACCAUCACAUCUCAUACGAUGACUGCAGACUGGCCUCUCUGCCUCCACCUGGUUUCUGCCUGACCCAUUGCAGCCUGUAGCAUUCUACAAAUGCAAACUACUUCCAGUCCUUCCAGUGGCUCCCCGUGGCCCACGGGAUGAAACCUGAACUCUUUGCCACGAGCCAUAAGGCCCUUCAGGCCAAAGCCCACCUGCCUCCCUUCCCUGGCCUCAUCUCCUGGUCCACUCUGCUCCAGCUGCACUGGGCUGUCUUUUGUUUCUCAUAUGCAUCAGCUCUCCCCACUCGGAGCCUAUGUCCUGGCUGUUUAUUCCGCCUGAAACACUCUUCCCAUGGCCCUACCUUCACUUUCCAGCUGAGAAAUCACCUCCUCAGAGGGGUCUUCACUGAUCACCCUGUCUACUGAGCAUGAUUCCCCAUCAGUACUCCCCAUCGCUACGUCUUGUGGAUUCCCUUUACAAACUAUAAUGACCUGAAAUUAGUUUAUUCAUUUAUUAAUCCUGCUUAUUACCAUCCACUCCUCUCUAUCCCUUAGGCUAUUUUUUUGGAAGCUGGCACCAUGAAUGUACCCAGUGCCUGGCACCAAGCAAGUAUCCAAUAAAAUGUUGUUAAAUGAAUGAAUAAA
Molecule: long non-coding RNA, 1449 nt
Organism: Neofelis nebulosa (Clouded leopard)
Lineage: Eukaryota; Metazoa; Chordata; Mammalia; Carnivora; Felidae
Exons: 2
Source: RefSeq, a predicted model, not a curated record